RNAcentral lists this long non-coding RNA (6914 nucleotides) under Homo sapiens (human). RNAcentral's name for it is "non-protein coding lnc-DDX58-8:5". The stretch from base 1748 to 1813 matches the Rfam family "mir-1255 microRNA precursor family". The record is from RNAcentral. Lineage: Eukaryota; Metazoa; Chordata; Mammalia; Primates; Hominidae.
AUAGUCUUCAUCAAGAUCCUUAUUAUUUCUUGCUAUUUGUGAACCUCCCUGCUUUCAAGUCCUCUUCAAUUGUUUCUUCAGGCCAGACAUUCCAUAUGAGAAGGACUGAGAGUUCAAGAUAUUGUAUUUUCUACGGAUUGAAGAUUUGUGGCAACCCUAUAUCCAGCAAGACCGUUGGUGCCAUUUUUCCAACAGCGUGUGCUUACUUCAUGUCUCUGUGUCACAUUUUGAUAAUUCUCACAAUAUUUCAAACUUUUUCAUUAUCAUAUCUGCUGUAGUGAUCUGUGUUCAGUGAUCUUUAAUGCUACCAUUGUAAUUAUUUUCGGGCACCACGAACUGUGCCUUUGUAUUCCCUGAGACAGAACAGUAUUAAAAUUAGGCUAAUGAGUAACUUUACGAUGGCCUCUAACUGUUCAAGUGAAAGGAAGAGGCUCAUGUCUCUCACUUUAAAUCAAAAGCUAGAAGUGAUUAAGCUUAGUGAGAAAGGCAUGUCAAAAGCCAAGGCAGGCUGAAAGCUAUGCCUCUUGCACCACACAGCCAAGUUGUGAAUGCAAAUGAAACAUUAUUGAAAGAAUUUAAAAGUGCUACUCCAAUGAACACACGACUGAUCAGAAAGCAAAACAGCCUUAUUGCUGAUAUGGAGAAAGUAUGAGUGGCUGGGAUAGAAGAUUAAACCAGCCAUAAUGUUCCUUAAGCCAAAGCCUAAUCUGGAGAAAGACUCGAACUCUCUUCAAUUUAAUGAGGCUGAGAGGGGUGAGGAAGCUGCACAAGAAAAGUUUGAGGCUAACAGAGAUUAGUUAAUGAGUUGUUUCCGUAACAUGAAAGUGCAAGAUGAAGCAGCAAAUGCUAAUGUAGAAGCUGCAGCAAGUUAUCCAGAAGAUCUGGCUAAGAUCAUUGGUGAAGGUGGCUUCACUAAAAAAUAGAUUUUCAGUACAAACCAAACAGCCCUCUAUUGGAAGAAGAUGCUCUCUAGAAAUUUUACAGCUAGAGAGGAGAAGUCAAUGUCUGACUUCGAAGCUUCAAAAAAUAGGCUGAUUCUCUUGUUAAGGUAUAAUGCAGCUGGUGACCUUAAGUUGAUGCUUAAAUGCUCAUUUAUCAUUCUGAAUAUCCUAGGACCCUUAAUAAUUAUGCUAAAUCUACUCUGCCUAUGCUGUAUAAAUGGAACAACAAGACCUGGAUGAUAGCAUAUCUGUUUAUAGUAUGGUUUGUUGCAUAUUUUAAUCCCACUAUUGAUACCUACUGCUCAGAAAAAAGGAUUCUUUACAAAAUGUUGCUGCUCAUUGACAAUAUACCUGUUCACUCAAGAGCUCCGAUGGAGAUGCACAGGAGAUUAAUGUUUUUAUGCCUGCAAAGACAACAUUCAUUAUGUAGUCUAUGGAUCAAGGAGAAAUUUUGACUUUCAAAUAUUAUUAUUUAAUAAAUACAUUUUGUAAGGCUACAGCUGCCAUAGUGAUUCCUCUGAUGAAUCUGGGCAAACUAAAUGGAAAAGCUUCUGGAAAGGAUUCACCAUUCCAGAUGCCAUUGAGAACAUUCAUAAUCGAGGCUAGGAGGUGAAAAUAUCAAUGUUAACAUGAGUUUGGAAGAAGUUAAUUCCAAUCUUUAUGGAUGAGUUUGAGGGAUUCAAGACUUCUUUGGGAGAAGUAACCACAGAUGUAGUGGAAACAGCAAGAAAACUAGAAGGGUAGCCUAAAGAUGUGACUGAAUUGCUGCAAUCUCAUGGUCAAACUGUAAUGAGUGAGGAGUUGCUUCUUACAUAUGAGCAAAGAAAGUGGUUUCUUGAGAUAGAAUCUAUUCCUGGUGAAGAUUCUGUGAACAAUGUUGAAAUAAUGGCAAAGUAUUUCAAAUAUUACAUAAACUUAGUUGAUAAAGCAGUGGCAGGAUUUGAGAGGAUUGACUCCAGUUUCAAAAGAAGUAAAAGAAGUUGUGCUGUAAAUAAAAUGCAAUCAAACAGCAUUGCGUACCACAGAUAAAUCUUUCAUGAAAGGAUGAGUCAAUUGAUGCCGCAAACUUCAUAGUUGUCUUAUUGCAAGAAAUUGCCAUAGCCUUCCCAACCUUCAGCAACCACCAGCCUGAUCAGUUAGCAGUCAUCAACAAUGAGGCAAGACCCUCCACCAGCAAAAGGUUAUGACUUGCUGAAGGCUCAGAUGAUCAUUACCAUUUUUUAGCAAUAAAGUAAUUUUAAAUUAAGGUAUACACAUUGUUUUUUAAAGACAUAAUGCUAUUGCACACUUAAUAGACUACUAUAUAGUAUAAACAUAACUUUUAUACACACUGCAAAACCAAAAAAUUCAUGUGACUUGCUUUGUUACAAUAUUUGUUUUACUGUGGUGGUCUGGAACCAAACCUGCAAUAUGCCUGAGGUAUAGCUAUAUUUACACCACGGAAACUGGAAAAUGCAAUUUCCAAACUAGGGCUUUUUUCUUCCCCGGGAAAGGUGAUUGUGAAAUAUUUAGCAGUAUAUCACUGCAAAUGAUAGUUCAGUCUCAUAUCUCCUUUGGGAAGGAGGAGGUCUAAUAGUGUAUGAAAUUUUCUAAACAUAGGAAUUCUGUUUAAAAUAUGCUAUGCAGCUACCAACAGCCAUUGAUUGCAAGGUUUCCUCCACUUCACUCCCUUGUCAAAGUAUCUUUUGAUGCCUGAUAAUGCAGUGAGAUAGAACUGCAAAUGUACUUUAGGUUAUAGCCAGAAUUUACAGCCUUGUUUCCCCUCUAUUGGACAUUGUUCCAAGCAACACUGUUUUCCCGGAAAUACUGCAGACUGUUUAUUUAAGGACAAAAGGGGACCAUGUGGCUUUUUGAAAUGUCACUGUCAAGCACUGGGCCAUGACAAUUCUGACCAAGUAUGGCAGUGUUCUAGUAUUAGGUCUCCAGGAAUUAUUCCCAGGAGGCGAGUAGUCUUCAAAGAUAAAAUGAUGGUGCAGAUGGUCACACAGCACGUAUGAGAGAGAUAUACCAAGAGAGACACUCCAUCUCUACAAAAAAAUAAUGAGAAGGUGGGCGUGGUGGCUCAUGCCUGUAAUCCCAGCACUUUGGGAGGCCGAGGUGAGUGGAUCACCUGAGGUCAGGAGUUCGAGAUCAGCCUGACCAACAUGGAGAAACCCUGUCUCUACUGAAAAUACAAAAUUAGCUGGGCAUGGUGGUACAUGCCUGUAAUCCCAGCUACUUUGGAGGCUGAGGCAGGAGAAUUGCUUGAACCCGGGAGGUGGAGGUUGCAGUGAGCCAAGAUUGUGCCAUUGCACUCCAGCCUGGGCAACAAGAGCGAUACUCCAUUUCAAAAUAAUAAUAAUGAUGAUAAUAAUAAUUAUUAUAAUAAGGAGAAACUUACUUGGCAAAUUCAGAGAUGGGAAAUCUUGAAAGAGUCUCUCAAUUGGAAAUGAAGGAAAUUGGGCAGCAUUUUCUUCUUCAUUUCUCACCUUCUCCUCUAGGUACCAGACAGACUCCUGGGAAGUCAGGGAAGUCAGGAGAAAAAGUUUCAGUCUCGCCUAGGACAGAUAGGACAGAAAGCUCAUGUUGACAAGCCAGAGCUGAGGGGGCUGCCACCAGUUAAGAUCUUCUCAAGCACAAGCAUUCCAGUACUAUUAGCCCUCCCUUGGACACAAAGAGUAGUGGCCAGACUGGGGUCAUGCUCAACGUGGGGUAGCAGAGAUGUCUGUGGUGCCCAGAAGUAGAGAAACAGUUCCAGGCUCCAAGCAGAGUGUUUUGAAAAAGACUUUUUUUGUGAAGUAUCAUGAAGCCCUCUCUCAGCUGCAAAGGACUCUUUAUCAGUGACAGCAGUGACUGUAGUGAUGGGUGCAGGGGACAGACCAUUCAACCCAGCUGAAAGGUAUCCUAGGGAACCAGUGAGGAGCCCUGGAUGCUGCAAUUAACGGCCUGGACAGAGGAUGGGGACAUGAAUAAUGGUAGAGUCCAGCAUUAGCACAACACUCCAUUCAUCACUGCUGAAGGGCAAAUGCAUAACCCUCAAAAUGAUCCUGGAAAGAGGAAAAGGGAGAGGAAUUGCAAGUUCCAUGGAACAGUGAUUUACCAUGCAGCAGAGGAUGUGAGCAUCUCCGAAAUAGAAGGGUCCACAUAUUUUGAACUUUAACAUAUAUAAUGAUACUUAUAAUGUGACUGUUACGGGCAGCUGAUUUUUCAUACAAUUGACAUGUGAGUAUUUUCCAGGCAGGCAUCUUAUUUCCUGUGUAUGUGCCCCCUAUUUAUGCAGGACCAUCAACAGGACCAACAUUGAGUAGAAAUCAGUCACAGCAAACCACUUUCCUUUUUAUUUCAUGUACUCUGUACCCUCCUUUAAUGGCAACAUAAUUGCAUCAUAUCAUUGGUUUGUAGUGUGGAGGCUGUGGGUCUGAUUUUUAGUUUCCCAAUCCGUGCAGAAUAUUCAGAAGAAUAGAGGGUUGGAGACCUCUAGUUCAGGUCAAAAUCAGUGUGAAAGGCUUGACUUUGGAAAGGGUAAAGAGAGUUCAAUUUAAACUGAGUCUCCAGCUAGGGGCAGGGAGAGGAAAGAGGAGUUAGUCUCCCACAAGAGGAGACUAGCAUAAUCUUUGUGCCCUAAUUAGGCAUCCUUGGGCUUAGGGAAUUACUAGGGGAUACGGGAGUGUAAUGCAGGAAAACCAAGGCAGAAGUCAUGUCCGAGAGUCUGGAUCAAUCCUUCAGGGCAGGGGGUGGAGCAAGGGAAGAAAGGGGAGCUGUGCCAAGGGGUCUACCAGUGGGCCCAGGGCAGAUCCCAAGUCCAUAAGCAAUAGGAUCAGGUCCAGGUACCACCUUCUUGAAAUCUGAGGCUGCUGCUGUACUUCCUGCCCCUGCUACCUUGGGCCUGGGGCUGUAAAUGUCAUCAGAUAGUCCACCUGGAAGGGCCUGUGGAAAGCAAAAUCAGAGAAACAAGGCAGGAGCUGGCCACUUGUGAAAUUUUUCCUGGAAACUCUGUCAUGGAAUCAUGUUUUAGAUACCAGAAGGAAGGGCUGCUCUGACUAACUGACCAUGAAUCGGAGAAGAGGCCUGCGAUGAUCUAGGCAGUGGGUUAUGGGAGAGGAAUGGAAAACUGCAGAAUGGAUUCUCCAGCCCAUUCAGCGCUCAUACUACAUGGGCAUGUUCACAGACCUGCAGGCUUUGCCUUUGUCUGUCUCCCUGCUUUUGGAAGGGAUGGCACAGCUUUGCCCCCUUUCCUGGAGGCACAGUAGUCUGACUUGAGUCUUUCGCUGUCUUCUGUAUCCAACUCAUUCAUGAAAUUAUAUGAGAUAAUUUCCAAAUAAGUGACUUUUUUGGCUUAUUUGCCCAAUUGACUUAAUUAUUGCCGGUUUAUUCUUCUUGUUUUGGAUUCCUUGAGCUGAGAGAGUGAAAAAGGGAGUUUAUUUAAGAAGAUAAGGACAGAUUAGGUUUUCAAUUUGGUGGUAUGAUGCAGUCUGCUUUCUUAACUCUAUUAUGACCUAUUUAGUGUUUGUUUUUCUCUUAUUGUGGAAGUAACAUAUGCUGAUUAUAGAGAUAUAGAAAAAGAUAAAAAGUAUCCAUUUCAAUUGACCAAUAAUGUCCUCUCAGCAAUUUGGUGUAUAUCAUGUAUUUUUAAAUAAACAGAUUGCUUUGUAAAUACACUUUAUAUCUUACUGUUGUAACAUUAAAAAAAAGGUGGUUAAAAUGGCGAGCAAGUGCAGAACAGCAGCACUUGGAAAGUAAGCUGGGGAUGGCAAAAGCCUCAAUUUCUGUUUCCACAAAGCACUCUGUUCUCUUUGUUGAUCACUGAGACCCAGAAGCUACCAUCUCCAGUGGAACUGGAACCUUUGUUUUUCUUGAUCUCUGCAUCGUGUGGCUCAGCCCCGGUUGGAACUGAAGCUUGGAAUAAAGCCACAGUGAGCUGGGUCACACUGUUUCUUAGACUUCCCCCCACAGUACCUUGUUUGGAGAGAAUUAUAACUGAAAGGGAAAAAAUUCCCUCUGGCAAGAAACUUGGCUUAGAAAUGCUCAUUUGGAGAAGCUUAUUAUUAUUAUUAUUUUUUGGUUUUGCUGUUUAAAUAAGGUCACUGCUAUAAAUCAAUGUUUGUGAGUGUUAGAGAAGACCAAGUAAAUAAAUAAAGCCCUACGUAUUUAUUGUAAACAGAAACACCCUAGAGGUUCUCCAGGGGAAGAGAGAGUGAGAGAAAGGUCACCAUUUCUUGCAUACAGAAAAUUAACUGUUUCAUUAGUUUAGAUAGAAACACAUUUUUUCUUUAAAAUUAGUUAUGAGGAAAAUAUUUCCAAGUUUGUGCCUCUUAUUAGGUGUAUGAAGUAUCAAAAAUAUUAAGUACAACUAACAGCAUUAGGACUUGUUCUCACCUCAACUCCAUCAUCUGAAUAAAACCACUGAAAAAGAGAAAAACAGCUCCUGACGUAAGGAAACUGGCCUGAUAUUUACAUCUAGUUCAUAGUGUUUGCCUGUUGGACACAAAUGAUCUCAUAGAACAUCAACAACAGACCAAGGCACUCUGACUAUAAUGGAGUGAGAGAAAAAACAAGUGAGACAAGACAACUUCAAAAUUUUGUCUAAGCACAGGCAAAACCAAAUGACCCAAAUACCAGACAUCCUCCUCUCUUGGCUAACAUGAGUGACUAUCAAAGCUUUAGCCUCUAUGUGUUCCUCUUGACUUAUAGAGAAGAUUCAUUAGGAUACUGAUAUGGUUUGGCUCUGUAUCCUCACCCAAAUCUCAUCUUGUAGCUCCCAGAAUUCCCACGUGUUAUGGGAGGGACCCAGUGGGAGAUAAUUGAGUCAUGAGGGCGGGUCUUUCCUGUGCUGUUCUCGUGAUAAUAAAUAAGUCUCAUGAGAUCUGAAGGUUUUAAAAAUGGGAGUUUCCCUGCACAAGUUCUCUUCUCUUGUCUGCUGCCAUGUGAGAUGUGCCUUUCACCUUCUGCUGUGAUUGUGAGGCCUUCCCAGCCACAUGGAACUGUAAGUCCAAU